Molecule: ribosomal RNA, 253 nt
Filed under: uncultured bacterium
Lineage: Bacteria
Description: partial 16S ribosomal RNA
Rfam family: Bacterial small subunit ribosomal RNA
Source: RNAcentral
UACGUAGGGGGCAAGCGUUGUCCGGAAUUAUUGGGCGUAAAGAGCUCGUAGGCGGGUUGGCGCGUCUGCUGUGAAAGUUCGGGGCUCAACUCGGGAACUGCAGUUGGAACUGUCAGACUAGAGUGCGGUAGAGGAGACUGGAAUUCCUGGUGUAGCGGUGGAAUGCGCAGAUAUCAGGAGGAACACCAGUGGCGAAGGCGGGUUUCUGGGCCGCAACUGACGCUGAGGAGCGAAAGCGUGGGGAGCGAACAGG